Molecule: ribosomal RNA, 377 nt
Filed under: uncultured eukaryote
Lineage: Eukaryota
Description: SSU rRNA
Rfam family: Eukaryotic small subunit ribosomal RNA
Source: RNAcentral
AGCUCCAAUAGCGUAUAUUAAAGUUGUUGCGGUUAAAAAGCUCGUAGUUGGAUUUCUGUCGAGGGCGAUCGGUCCGUACUAUGUGCGUGUAUCUGUUAUCCCUUGGCAUCCUCUUGGGGAACGUUUCUGUGAUUCAUUUCAUGGGGCGGAAUUCAAGACUUUUACUUUGAGGAAAUUAGAGUGUUCACGGCAAGCUAUCGCUUUGAAUACAUUAGCAUGGAAUAAUAAUAUAGGGCGUAAGUCUUAUUUUGUUGGUUUCUAGGACAUACGCAAUGAUUAAUAGGGAUAAUUGGGGGCAUUCGUAUUGACGCGUCAGAGGUGGAAUUCUUAGAUUGCGUCACGACGAACUACUGCGAAAGCAUUUGCCAAGGAUGUUU